RNAcentral lists this ribosomal RNA (425 nucleotides) under uncultured bacterium. RNAcentral's name for it is "bacterial SSU rRNA". It matches the Rfam family "Bacterial small subunit ribosomal RNA", at positions 354 to 796 of the family's 1533-position model. The record is from RNAcentral.
GUGGGGAAUCUUGCGCAAUGGGCGAAAGCCUGACGCAGCCAUGCCGCGUGAAUGAUGAAGGUCUUAGGAUUGUAAAAUUCUUUCACCGGGGACGAUAAUGACGGUACCCGGAGAAGAAGCCCCGGCUAACUUCGUGCCAGCAGCCGCGGUAAUACGAAGGGGGCUAGCGUUGCUCGGAAUUACUGGGCGUAAAGGGCGCGUAGGCGGACAGUUUAGUCAGAGGUGAAAGCCCAGGGCUCAACCUUGGAAUUGCCUUUGAUACUGGCUGUCUUGAGUACGGGAGAGGUGAGUGGAACUCCGAGUGUAGAGGUGAAAUUCGUAGAUAUUCGGAAGAACACCAGUGGCGAAGGCGACUCACUGGCCCAAUACUGACGCUGAGGCGCGAAAGCGUGGGGAGCAAACAGGAUUAGAAACCCUGGUAGUCC